Molecule: ribosomal RNA, 497 nt
Filed under: uncultured bacterium
Lineage: Bacteria
Description: partial 16S ribosomal RNA
Rfam family: Bacterial small subunit ribosomal RNA
Source: RNAcentral
GAUGAACGCUGGCGGCGUGCCUAAUACAUGCAAGUCGAGCGAACAGACGAGGAGCUUGCUCCUCUGACGUUAGCGGCGGACGGGUGAGUAACACGUGGAUCACCUACCUAUAAGACUGGGAUAACUUCGGGAAACCGGAGCUAAUACCGGAUAAUAUAUUGAACCGCAUGGUUCAAUAUUGAAAGACGGUUUUGCUGUCACUUAUAGAUGGAUCCGCGCCGCAUUAGCUAGUUGGUAAGGUAACGGCUUACCAAGGCAACGAUGCGUAGCCGACCUGAGAGGGUGAUCGGCCACACUGGAACUGAGACACGGUCCAGACUCCUACGGGAGGCAGCAGUAGGGAAUCUUCCGCAAUGGGCGAAAGCUUGACGGAGCAACGCCGCGUGAGUGAUGAAGGUCUUCGGAUCGUAAAACUCUGUUAUUAGGGAAGAACAAAUGUGUAAGUACCUAUGCACGUCUUGACGGUACCUAAUCAGAAAGCCACGGCUAACUACGUG